This 450-nucleotide ribosomal RNA is filed under the name uncultured bacterium. RNAcentral's name for it is "bacterial SSU rRNA". It matches the Rfam family "Bacterial small subunit ribosomal RNA", at positions 958 to 1398 of the family's 1533-position model. The record is from RNAcentral.
AACGCGAAGAACCUUACCUGGCCUUGACAUGUAGGUAGUAGAACCGUGAAAGCGGGACGAGGUAGCAAUACCAGCCUACACAGGUGCUGCAUGGCUGUCGUCAGCUCGUGUCGUGAGAUGUUGGGUUAAGUCCCGCAACGAGCGCAACCCUUGUGUCCUGUUGCCACCCGAACGAGAGUUCGGAGCACUCUGGACAGACUGCCUCGCUUAAACGAGGAGGAAGGUGGGGAUGACGUCAAGUCAGUAUGGCCCUUACGGCCAGGGCUGCACACGUACUACAAUGCCCGGCACAGAGGGAAGCAAGACCGCAAGGUGGAGCAAAUCCCAUAAAACCGGGCCCAGUUCAGAUUGUCGUCUGCAACUCGACGACAUGAAGCCGGAAUCGCUAGUAAUGGCGCAUCAGCUACGGCGCCGUGAAUACGUUCCCGGGCCUUGUACACACCGUACGUC